CCUACGGGAGGCAGCAGUGAGGAAUAUUGGUCAAUGGACGAGAGUCUGAACCAGCCAAGUAGCGUGAAGGAUGACUGCCCUAUGGGUUGUAAACUUCUUUUAUAAAGGAAUAAAACGAGGCACGUGUGCCUUUUUGCAUGUACUUUAUGAAUAAGGAUCGGCUAAAGCCGUGCCAGCAGCCGCCGUAAUACGGAGGAUCCGAGCGUUAUCCGGAUUUUUUGGGUUUAAAGGGAGCGUAGAUGGGUUGUUAAGUCAGUUGGGAAAGUUUGCGGCUCAACCGUAAAAUUGCAAUUGAUACUGGCAGUCUUGAGUACGGUGGAGGUAAGCGGAAUUCGUGGUGUAGCGGUGAAAUGCUUAGAUAUCACGAAGAACCCCGAUUGCGAAGGCAGCUUACUAAACUGCGACUGACAUUGAUGCUCGAAAGUGUGGGUAUCAAACAGGAUUAGAUACCUUGGUAGUC
Molecule: ribosomal RNA, 460 nt
Filed under: uncultured bacterium
Lineage: Bacteria
Description: partial 16S ribosomal RNA
Rfam family: Bacterial small subunit ribosomal RNA
Source: RNAcentral